This 52-nucleotide ribosomal RNA is filed under the name Trichoderma harzianum. RNAcentral's name for it is "partial 28S ribosomal RNA". Lineage: Eukaryota; Fungi; Ascomycota; Sordariomycetes; Hypocreales; Hypocreaceae. The record is from RNAcentral.
GGAUCAGGUAGGAAUACCCGCUGAACUUAAGCAUAUCAAUAAGCCGGGAGGA